RNAcentral lists this ribosomal RNA (468 nucleotides) under uncultured bacterium. RNAcentral describes it as "partial 16S ribosomal RNA". It matches the Rfam family "Bacterial small subunit ribosomal RNA", at positions 28 to 507 of the family's 1533-position model. The record is from RNAcentral.
GAUGAACGCUGGCGGCGUGCCUAACACAUGCAAGUCGAACGGAAAGGCGCAAGCUUUCUUGGGUACUCGAGUGGCGAACGGGUGAGUAACACGUGGGUGAUCUGCCCCGCACUUCGGGAUAAGCCUGGGAAACAGCGGCUAAUACCGCAUAGGACUAUGGUAUGGAUACCAUUGUGGAAAGUUUUUCCGGUGUGGGAUGAGGUCGGGGCGUAUCAGCUUGGUGGUGGGGUAGUGGCCUACCAAGGCGUAGACGGGGAGCCGGCCCGCGAGGGUGUAGGGACGGUUCAGACUCGUGAGGGGGGCCGCAGUGGGGAAGGUGGCAGAAGGGGGGAAUGUCGGACGAAGGGAGGCAGCGUGAUGGAGGGAGGCCUCGUGGGGGUAGACGGCUUUCGGGUUGGAAGAUCCUUUCGGUAGGGAAGAAGCGUUUUUGUGACGGUACCUGGAGAAGAAGCACCGGCUAACUACGUG